RNAcentral lists this transfer RNA (68 nucleotides) under Cephus pygmeus. RNAcentral describes it as "tRNA-Cys". Lineage: Eukaryota; Metazoa; Arthropoda; Insecta; Hymenoptera; Cephidae. The record is from RNAcentral.
AAUCUUAUAGUUUAUAAAAAUUUUAAAUUGCAAAUUUAAAGAAGUAGAUAAAUUUUUUACUAAGAUUU